CUAGCCAAGCGGCUGGGGUGUUGGGGACGCAAGCCCGCCGCCCCUCCAUAUUUCAACAGAUGGCGCCCAGACUUGUGGACAACUGAAUCCACAGAAAGCCUGAAAAAGCUUGGGAAAGAGUAAAGCAUGUUUUCUUGAUAGCAGCAAUUUCUUGGGUCUGCUCUGCUUGUUAGAAGCAAGCAAACACUCUCAUCUAAGAGAGGCUUCCUGACUCAGCUUCAGCUGCAAAACCCUGCAGCUCAUUAAGAGGUCCUGCCACGAACACUUAAAUGGUGUUGACAAAAAGCUGAACGCAUGCUUUUCGGUUUUCAGCUAUAGCAGGAAAAAAGCUGCGCCGUUUAAAAAUGCUGGCUUUUUGGGCCGUCCUGCCAGGGCAAACUCUGACUGAGGCAGGAGAGCCAACUACCGAGAGACGACUUGACUGUUGUCUGUUGUAGCUCGCUGGCUGGCAGGGACCUUGAAACGCCAUAGAAUUGUGUCUAUAAACAAGGCUACAGCCUGUAUCUCCGCCACGAGGCUGGAAAGCUAAGGAAUGGACUGGAUCUAGCUGGCAAAGCCACGGCUUUAAUCCUACUCAUAUUGCUCAGUAAUUUAAAGGCUCGUGUGGUCAGAAAAAGAGAGAUAUACAGUAAAGAGAUUCAAAGACAAAGAAAAUGUUUAAAUGAUUUACAGUGUGUUAAAAAUAUAUGCAAGCUAAAAGUUAAAAGUUCUUAAAAAAAAAGAAAGAAAAAGAGAAGUUGUGUGUGGUAGUACACGCCUUUAAUCCCAACACUUGGGAGGCAGAGGGAGAUUGACCUCUGUGACUUCAAGGUGUGGUAGCACACGCCUUUAAUCCCAGUGCCUAGAAGGCAGAGACAAACAGAUCUCUGUGAGUUCAAGGUGUAGUAGCAAACACCUUUAAUCCCAAUGCCUGGGAGGCAGAGACAGGCGGAUCUCUGAGAGUUCAAGGAGAGCCUGGUCUACAGAGUUAUUCCAGGUCAAAGAGAUACAGAGAAUAUAAAAGUAAAAAUAAACGAAAUAGAGGUUAAAAUAAAGCGUACAAAGAUGGAAAAUACACAGAGAAUCUUGAUACUGUAUACUAUUAUGCUCUCUUUGAAUUGUUUGAAUGCUGAGGAAGGAGCAACAGCUGCUAAAAGAUAUUUGUUUAUAAAUGCUGCUGAACUAAUCCAUCGUAGAGAUUUUGAUGCCUUGACUUUGAAAUUUGGAUCUAAGGACAUGAUACUUUGGAAAGGAGUUUCUUUUUUUGUUUUCACAGAGGAUGAGACCCUGUUCAUUUCUUCUAUUCCGAUAUGGUAUGAUGGACCACGCCCUCCUGAACGGUUGCUGUGAAUACCUUCAGAAAAUUGCUUCGCUCAACUGCCAACUGAGAUGAAACUAGCACACAGGUUAUACCAUGAAUGACCUGAUUAACGACGCCCCCAUUCAGCAGGAAGCAGUUUGGAGAGAAAUAACUGCGCCCAUAUUCCCAAAAAUUGUUUAUAAAUGUUCUUUUACAUUUAAAGGGGGAGAUGAUAUAGGUAUGAAUAAUUUACAUUGAUAUGGAUUUUGCUUUAGUGAUUUAAAUUUAAGGUUAAUUUUGUAAUGUAUAUAGGUUGUUAAUGGAUAAUCAUUAAUAAUAGUCAAGUUUGAAGUCAUGUUAGUUAAGGUUUUCUAGAUGUGCAUAGAUAUAUUUUAGAUAGGCAUUCUUCAUAUUUUUCAAAGAUUAUAGAAUAUGCUAUUAAAUGUUUUAAUAACUUAGUACUUUUCAUGACAAUGAGACACUCUGCUCUUGGCAUCACCAAUCUACUUCAAGAGGAAGAUGGGCAUCGAAGAGGAUCCUUAUGGAGUUUGAUAGCCAUUUGGGCAAGAAACUGCUCUUGCCUGGACUAUUGCAUAAACUGGACACAGAGAACCCGCAGAGAGAGGACUGCUGAACUUGCCUAAAGGUGAGAUGAUCUUUCCGGGUUCCUGAUUCAUGAAAGAGUCUGCAAGACAUUCUUCAGGACAAGCAGAUAGUGACUGUCUUUGAAAUUUCCUGCUCUGUGGAAAUGUCUGCUGGAAACUAUGGGACUGUAGGCUGAAGAUGGAUGCCCCAAUGGUACAGAGGAACUUUGGGUGACUGUCCAGUCAGCGAGAUGUCUCUGUCAUUUCUAGAGCUUUGGAUGUUAAGUUAAAGCCUUCCUUUUUUUUUGUUUAAACAGAAAAGGGGGAAGUGAUGUGGGAGUGUCAUAUAUCAAUCUGUUGAUUUCAUUGGCUGAGCAAUAAAGAAACUGCUUGGCCCUGAUAGGUUAAAGCAUUGGUGGGAGGAAUAAACAGAAUAGGAUCUGGGCGGAAGAGGAAGUGAGGUCAGACUCUGCUCUGCUUCCAGAGGGACCGAAUAGCUCUGCUCUCUGGAGCAGAGACACCAUGAUGGACGGAGGCUAGAAUCUUCCCAGUAAGCGCACCUUGGGGUGC
This is a long non-coding RNA of Alexandromys fortis (reed vole), 2433 nucleotides long. RefSeq lists it as uncharacterized. The transcript is spliced from 3 exons. NCBI's taxonomy places the organism in Eukaryota, Metazoa, Chordata, Mammalia, Rodentia, Cricetidae. The record is from RefSeq and is a predicted model, not a curated record.